Molecule: ribosomal RNA, 308 nt
Filed under: uncultured eukaryote
Lineage: Eukaryota
Description: partial 18S ribosomal RNA
Rfam family: Eukaryotic small subunit ribosomal RNA
Source: RNAcentral
CCCUUAGAUGUUCUGGGCCGCACGCGUGCUACACUGAGUAAAUCAAUGGGUAAGGGAACACGAAAGUGCAACCUAAUCUUGAAAUUUGCUCGUGAUGGGGAUCGACGGUUGCAAUUUUCCGUCGUGAACGAGGAAUACCUUGUAGGCGCGUGUCAUCAUCACGCGCCGAAUACGUCCCUGCCCUUUGUACACACCGCCCGUCGCUCCUACCGAUGAGUCGUCCGGUGAAGUUCGUAGACCUCGUGAUCGCGGAUCACUGGGGGAAGCAAAAUGAACCUCGCGGUUUAGAGGAAGGAGAAGUCGUAACA